AUUGAGUCACCCUUGAGAUACUACCUCUGUUGUAUGAACGUUCUAACUCUGAUCAGUUAUCCUGAUCGAAGACAGUGUCUGGCAGGCAGUUUGACUGGGGCGGUCGCCUCCUAAAAGAUAACGGAGGCGCUCAAAGGUUUGCUCAGAAUGGUUGGAAAUCAUUCGUAGCGUGUAAAGGCAUAAGCAAGCUUGACUGUGAGACUGACAAGUCGAGCAGGUACGAAAGUAGGACUUAGUGAUCCGGUGGUUCCGUAUGGAAGGGCCAUCGCUCAACGGACAAAAGCUACCCCGGGGAUAACAGGCUCAUCUCCCCCAAGAGUCCACAUCGACGGGGAGGUUUGGCACCUCGAUGUCGGCUCAUCG
Molecule: ribosomal RNA, 363 nt
Filed under: Oenococcus oeni
Lineage: Bacteria; Bacillati; Bacillota; Bacilli; Lactobacillales; Lactobacillaceae
Description: bacterial LSU rRNA
Rfam family: Bacterial large subunit ribosomal RNA
Source: RNAcentral